UGAGGAAUAUUGGUCAAUGGGCGCGGGCCUGAACCAGCCAAGUCGCGUGAGGGAUGACGGUCCUACGGAUUGUAAACCUCUUUUGCCGGGGAGCAAGCGUGCGUUCGUGAACGCACGUCGAGAGUACCCGGAGAAAAAGCAUCGGCUAACUCCGUGCC
Molecule: ribosomal RNA, 158 nt
Filed under: uncultured bacterium
Lineage: Bacteria
Description: partial 16S ribosomal RNA
Rfam family: Bacterial small subunit ribosomal RNA
Source: RNAcentral